GAUGAACGCUGGCGGCGUGCCUAAUACAUGCAAGUCGAGCGAACGGACGAGAAGCUUGCUUCUCUGAUGUUAGCGGCGGACGGGUGAGUAACACGUGGAUAACCUACCUAUAAGACUGGGAUAACUUCGGGAAACCGGAGCUAAUACCGGAUAAUAUUUUGAACCGCAUGGUUCAAAAGUGAAAGACGGUCUUGCUGUCACUUAUAGAUGGAUCCGCGCUGCAUUAGCUAGUUGGUAAGGUAACGGCUUACCAAGGCAACGAUGCAUAGCCGACCUGAGAGGGUGAUCGGCCACACGGGAACUGAGGCACGGUCCAGACUCCUACGGGAGGCAGCAGUAGGGAAUCUUCCGCAAUGGGCGAAAGCCUGACGGAGCAACGCCGCGUGAGUGAUGAAGGUCUUCGGAUCGUAAAACUCUGUUAUUAGGGAAGAACAUAUGUGUAAGUAACUGUGCACAUCUUGACGGUACCUAAUCAGAAAGCCACGGCUAACUACGUG
This 497-nucleotide ribosomal RNA is filed under the name uncultured bacterium. RNAcentral's name for it is "partial 16S ribosomal RNA". It matches the Rfam family "Bacterial small subunit ribosomal RNA", at positions 28 to 507 of the family's 1533-position model. The record is from RNAcentral.